This 431-nucleotide ribosomal RNA is filed under the name uncultured Glomus. RNAcentral's name for it is "SSU rRNA". It matches the Rfam family "Eukaryotic small subunit ribosomal RNA", at positions 569 to 1007 of the family's 1831-position model. Lineage: Eukaryota; Fungi; Glomeromycota; Glomeromycetes; Glomerales; Glomeraceae. The record is from RNAcentral.
AGCAGCCGCGGUAAUUCCAGCUCCAAUAGCGUAUAUUAAAGUUGUUGCAGUUAAAAAGCUCGUAGUUGAAUUUCGAGAUCAAAUUGUUGGUCGUGCCUCGGUACGUACUGGCAUUAUUGAUUUCUCCCUUCUGAAGAACCACGAUGUCAUUAAUUUGGUGUCGUGGGGAAUCAGGACUGUUACUUUGAAAAAUUGAGUGUUUAAAGCAGGCUCGCGCUUGAAUACAUUAGCAUGGAAUAAUGAAAUAGGACGUUUGAUUCUAUUUUGUUGGUUUCUAGGAUCGACGUAAUGAUUAAUAGGGAUAGUUGGGGGCAUUAGUAUUCAAUUGUCAGAGGUGAAAUUCUUGGAUUUAUUGAAGACUAACUACUGCGAAAGCAUUUGCCAAGGAUGUUUUCAUUAAUCAAGAACGAAAGUUAGGGGAUCGAAGACGA